Lolium perenne is the source of this 2975-nucleotide long non-coding RNA. RefSeq lists it as uncharacterized. Lineage: Eukaryota; Viridiplantae; Streptophyta; Magnoliopsida; Poales; Poaceae. The record is from RefSeq and is a predicted model, not a curated record.
AAACCCUAGCCGCCACAAUCGCGCACUCGAGCUGCCCAUUUGCGUCGCUCUGCCCCCGCCCCCGCCCCCGUCUCCGUGCCCUCGCCCCGCUUGCGGCCGAUGGCCUCCAGAGUCACUCUCCCUUCGAUGUUCUUGCGCCGCCCUUCUCUCCCCUACUUGCCUAGCUACCUCUCCAGCGCGAGCCACCCAGCGGUAACAGGGUUGAGCACAUGCUGGGAAGCGGAGCGCUAACGCCGGCCAAGCACUCCCUCUCGGCACCCUUGCCUGCGCGUCCCUUCAAUCGCCGGCUUAGUCCAGACCAAGAAACGGGGAGAGGGUGUGGACAGUGCGGCGGUUCCCUUGCCGGCGGCGUGUGGUGGUGGAGUGGUGAUGACGCUGGAGCCAGUGAAAUCUUGCUGCAUUCCUCGGUAAUCAGGUUCUGCGAGCGCCGCCAAUGGUUCCAUGGCGAGGAAGAUGAUGCUCGAGGACAGGCAGGUGGCCAGCGCCGAUCGAGGCGAGAGCUACGGCUAAAAUAUGUUUGUCAUUGGAGCUUCCUCCUCAACUCCUCAAAUGGUACUUAAUUUCAGCGCACGAUUACCUGACAUGCAGUCAAUCAUAAAGGGGACAUGCCCUCUGUCACCUGUAGGUUGCUUGUUCAUAAGCAGUCAAUCAGAUAAGAAUACACUGCCGAAAAUCUUCCCAGCAAUUUGAUGUUUUUAUGCAUUCAGAGUUAUCUACCUGUCUAUUGACCUAGGUGUGUGAUACUUGGCUGCAAUCACCAAGAAGAUACUGGCCUACGAGACAUCGUUCUAGGGGAAUUUGAUGCAAGUGGUCUUAGUGUCUUAUGCAAGGGAGCUAAUACUAAUCAGGCUAUGUUGGCAUGCUAUGUUGGUGUGGCUGAAAAUUUGGUUGUUUCAUACCCGAGUAUCAAGAAGUAAGUUCCUAAUGCAGGGCCCUGUAUCCUAUGGUCUAAUAAUGUAUAAUCAUCAUAUGCAGCUCAGGGGAAAUCAUGAUCCUCCAUUUACGACUAAUGAAACAUUUUUGUCUAAUGAAGAAUUAACAAUUACGGAUGGUCCGUCUAUGCCUAUGGUAGAUUCUAUUGAAGUUUAUGGUGGAGCUGAAAAUGUGUUCGUGUGGAAAGAGAAAAUGAAUGCUGUGCUUCAUAUGGCCUGUGACAUGGGUAGUCAUGCUGGCGCAAAAUCAUUGAAGAGACCCCAAACAAUGCAAAUUGGCUGCUACUAACACGGUUGUUGCAUACAAGGAACUUACAAUCUAAAAGCUUUGUUGGAAACCAUCUUUCAAAGUGAUAGGGAGACUCUUCUACAUUUUGGUGCAUGCAGUGCCCUUCAGGUUGUGUUUCUAAAGGACAUAUACCAUCAUAUAAAUUCAAGUAUCUUUGUGCAGUACUUGUAAUAUUCAUGGUCUGACAUUCCAUGUUUUGCUGCCAUUACUCUUUUAAUUUAUUCUUAAUCAUUGCACAGGAUAAAGACAAUAUACGCCUUCUAUGAGUAAUAAAGUAUGGUGCUGCAUCUAGCUGGUUGAUCAAAGAAUUUACUAUCCAGAUCCAUAAUGUCUAAAUUUGCUUUGCGCAUGAAAUUAAACUUGGCCUCUUUUCUUGAUAAUCAUGAUAAGAAUUUCGCUUAUUGUACCUUUGUAUGCGUGUUUUAGAAUUUUAGUAUGCUCAUUACUUUGCUGCUUUGACUAAGAGGACUAUGUUUGAUUAAGUUGAUAUGAUUUAAGAGUUUUUUGAAUGAUCAUGUUCUAAUCCCCCUUAGUAUAGCGUGGGAAGACCUUUUAGUAUACUAUCAAUUUAAUAGGCAUAUAAGCCGUGAAUUCCUCAGUUUAUGUGUUCUCCAGAUCAUUCUAAGAACAUGUGUUCAAUAAUUUUUUCCUGCAAUUCCUACUGUAGAGAAACCCAAAAGCCACUUUCAUAAGCAUAUUGCAGACCAAAUGAUGACUUCCAUUGAACUCAAUCUUCGAGCUUCUCAUACAUAACAAGUUGUGGUUUUCGUACACAUGCUAAGUUUGUACAUGACAAUAGUAUGUUAUUAUUAAUUGUUGUACGAGUAAGAUCUUAGAUGGAAAAAAUCUGUGCUUUAAGUCCUGUAAAUCUUUCUUCAUACAUUGCCAAGAGUGUGUUUGUAUUGAUCAUAUGGUUUUUCAAGAAAUUUCUACAGCUCUUGGCUCUUGCAAUCUGUUCAAUGCAGGUUUUAAGUAUCUUUGGCUAGAGGUCACUUUUGCAUGAUUUGAUCUUUGUUAGAGAAGGUGAUUGUUCCCUCAGCUUCAAUGUGUUAUAUUGAUACAUGCAUGAUGCCCAUUCCCAAGCUUGUGGUCAGCACAGAUCCAAAUUAGGCCAUGAUUAGGAUGAGAUUGUGCUUUCUUUGUCUCUAGAUAUGGUUUAUGAUUUUGAUGUUGUUUCUUGGGUCAUGGUCUGAAAUAAAUUCUGGUUCAGUUCUCCAUCUUUUGCAUUGUGGUAAGAUAGGAAAAGUACAAAUAAUUUUUGAGAUCUCAAUCAGGAUUUUUGUUUUUGGUCUCUUUGGUACAAUAGAAUAGGUACAAACAGGUUUUCGACUAAGGUUUUCUUUUGGUUUUUGUGGAAAUUUCAGGUUUCUUCAUAGAAUUAUAUUCUAUUCCUACCUAGCAUACACUGACUAUGGCUCAUGCUGGAAUACAAGAUUAGUCACUCGCCUAAGCAGGCUGAGGGUGCCUUGGAGGAGAUGCUCCUGUGAAGGGUGCGAUUCCAUCUGGUGGCAAUCUGAGCAGAUAUUGAAGCGCAUCUGAUUUUUGUUUACUGCCUUUUUUCACACUAUAAGUAAUUAAAUGUAGUAGUAGUAGUUAAUUGGUAGAGCUGUGAUAGCUUUAGACUUUUUUCACACUACAAAUCUGUUGCUAACAGAACGAUUGUAUUGAUUUGUUCUUAUUCUUUGUGUUGUCACUAUUAUGUAAGAAAAACAUGACUCAAACCAUAUAAAAUCAUCAGGUGAACAAUCCUUUAA